GAUGAACGCUGGCGGCGUGCCUAAUACAUGCAAGUCGAGCGAACAGACGAGGAGCUUGCUUCUCUGACGUUAGCGGCGGACGGGUGAGUAACACGUGGAUAACCUACCUAUAAGACUGGGAUAACUUCGGGAAACCGGAGCUAAUACCGGAUAAUAUAUUGAACCGCAUGGUUCAAUAGUGAAAGACGGUUUUGCUGUCACUUAUAGAUGGAUCCGCGCCGCAUUAGCUAGUUGGUAAGGUAACGGCUUACCAAGGCAACGAUGCGUAGCCGACCUGAGAGGGUGAUCGGCCACACUGGAACUGAGACACGGUCCAGACUCCUACGGGAGGCAGCAGUAGGGAAUCUUCCGCAAUGGGCGAAAGCUUGACGGAGCCACGCCGCGUGAGUGAUGAAGGUCUUCGGAUCGUAAAACUCUGUUAUUAGGGAAGAACAAAUGUGUAAGUAACUAUGCACGUCUUGACGGUACCUAAUCAGAAAGCCACGGCUAACUACGUG
This 497-nucleotide ribosomal RNA is filed under the name uncultured bacterium. Its description in RNAcentral is "partial 16S ribosomal RNA". It matches the Rfam family "Bacterial small subunit ribosomal RNA", at positions 28 to 507 of the family's 1533-position model. The record is from RNAcentral.